GAGGACCGAACCGACUAAUGUUGAAAAAUUAGCGGAUGACCUGUGGCUGGGGGUGAAAGGCCAAUCAAACCGGGAGAUAGCUGGUUCUCCCCGAAAGCUAUUUAGGUAGCGCCUCGUGAACUCAUCUCCGGGGGUAGAGCACUGUUUCGGCUAGGGGGCCAUCCCGGCUUACCAACCCGAUGCAAACUGCGAAUACCGGAGAAUGUUAUCACGGGAGACACACGGCGGGUGCUAACGUCCGUCGUGAA
RNAcentral lists this ribosomal RNA (248 nucleotides) under Salmonella enterica subsp. enterica serovar Kentucky. RNAcentral describes it as "partial 23S ribosomal RNA". It matches the Rfam family "Bacterial large subunit ribosomal RNA", at positions 769 to 1014 of the family's 2925-position model. Lineage: Bacteria; Pseudomonadati; Pseudomonadota; Gammaproteobacteria; Enterobacterales; Enterobacteriaceae. The record is from RNAcentral.